Molecule: ribosomal RNA, 253 nt
Filed under: uncultured bacterium
Lineage: Bacteria
Description: partial 16S ribosomal RNA
Rfam family: Bacterial small subunit ribosomal RNA
Source: RNAcentral
CACGUAGGGCGCGAGCGUUGUCCGGAAUUACUGGGCGUAAAGGGCUCGUAGGCGGCCAACUAAGUCAGACGUGAAAUCCCUCGGCUUAACCGGGGAACUGCAUCUGAUACUGGAUGGCUUGAGUUCGGGAGAGGGAUGCGGAAUUCCAGGUGUAGCGGUGAAAUGCGUAGAUAUCUGGAGGAACACCGGUGGCGAAGGCGGCAUCCUGGACCGACACUGACGCUGAGGAGCGAAAGCCAGGGGAGCAAACGGG